This 484-nucleotide ribosomal RNA is filed under the name uncultured bacterium. Its description in RNAcentral is "partial 16S ribosomal RNA". It matches the Rfam family "Bacterial small subunit ribosomal RNA", at positions 30 to 507 of the family's 1533-position model. The record is from RNAcentral.
AUUGAACGCUGGCGGCAGGCCUAACACAUGCAAGUCGAGCGGACGAAGGGAGCUUGCUCCUGGAUUAAGUGGCGGACGGGUGAGUAAUGCCUAGGAAUCUGCCCGGCAGAGGGGGAUAACGUCCGGAAACGGGCGCUAAUAUCGUAUACGUCCAGAUGGUGAACGUGGGGGAUCUUCGGACCUCACGCUUUCUGAUGAGCCUAGGUCGGAUAAGCUAGUUGGUGGGGUAAAGGCCUACCAAGGCGACGAUCCGUAACUGGUCUGAGAGGAUGAUCAGUCACACUGGAACUGAGACACGGUCCAGACUCCUACGGGAGGCAGCAGUGGGGAAUCUUGGACAAUGGGCGAAAGCCUGAUCCAGCCAUGCCGCGUGUGUGAAGAAGGUCUUCGGAUUGUAAAGCACUUUUAGUUGGGAGGAGGAGCAGUGAGAUUAAACCUGGCUGUUUUGACGUUACCAACAGAAUAAGCACCGGCUAACUUCGUG